Tetranychus urticae (two-spotted spider mite) is the source of this 3420-nucleotide non-coding RNA. NCBI's taxonomy places the organism in Eukaryota, Metazoa, Arthropoda, Arachnida, Trombidiformes, Tetranychidae. The record is from RefSeq and is a predicted model, not a curated record.
CUUUGUUUUACCUUAUUCUUCUCUUGAAACUCAAGAUUUGGAGCUUAAUUAGUAAAUGUUAUGAUCGAAACUUUAACUGAUCUAAUUAUUUUGAAAUAUUAUCUUAGCAGUGAGAGUUUAUCUUUGCUUUUGUGUUUAGAAAUCUUACGAUUUAAAGUUACUUUUGAAAUGAACUGACCAACAUUAAUUAUUUCGUGUAAACAUUCAAUUCAAGUUCUCUUUUUUUUGUGUUGGUUCCAUUAUUCGUAUUACAAUUCUUGGAUUUAUGAGGGUAAUAUUAAAUUGACAAAGCGAGACAAAAGCUUUUAUAAACUCAAUGAUCAGCAUGAAUAUCAUCAAAUUGUAAGACAAAAAUGUCUUGGCUUGAAGAAAUAAUAAGGAUAUGGUUAACUGCUACAGUGAUCAUUAGUUAAGAUUGAACAGGAAAAAAUGGUGAAAAGGACAUGAGAUGGAGAUCUGGUCAAAGUAACAGAAGACUUAUGAUUAUGAUACUGAGGAGGACAACGACAAAUCUGAUGAUGAUGAUACUGCUGUUGAUAGUGAUAGUGCUGGUGCUGGUGAUGAUGAUUAUGAGGUGAUAGAAAAAAAAGAAAAGAAUCAAGAAAAAAGAAAAGCAUUCAAGACAAACAGUUUGUUUCUUUUCUUUAAGUUAUAAAGAAUUGUUUCCUUUUGUUCCGAGUCAGGCCAAUUUUUUAUAUUAAUAUAUUAAAAUGAGUGGUGGUGAAAAAAGGAGGUCAUCAUUAAGAGACAAAUAAAUGUAAAAUAAAAAGUCGGACAAUAUGGAAUCCAGAUAAUGGUUAAUAAUGGUGGUUAAGACAAAAAAGGAAUGAGAUGAAAAGCCUGUAGUCAUCGCUAAAUAAAAGGAACCAGUUGAAGAGACAAUGAAGGAAAUGUGUAUAUUUCUUUGGAUUGGAAAGAAGCUUACAUGAACAAAUCUUUCAUCAUUUUUCACCAACCAUCACGUUUAUUGAGAUUUUGACUGAUGAUGAAUGUGAUGACAAUCAAGGUGUAAGUUAAACAAAAGAUUUGUCUAAGGAAUCUGAUGGUUAUUAAAGCAGUUAAAAGCUACAGGAAUACUUGCAUCUAUCCUUUCAAAUGAAGUUGUUGGCUCAUAAUUGUUAUCAAAAGACUUGGAAAAUUGGAGAAUAAUUAUUUAAGAAAGUCAAAUGUAAAGUUUACCGUUCACUGCUAUUGGUUUAAAAGAGUUUAAUGAAAUAAAGAAAAGGAUUGAACAGGAUUCAUGUUUUCGCAAACAUUGCGGUAUUAUUAUGCUGUUUAUAAAUUGAAAUUAGAUGGAAAGGAUAUAAUGAUUGAAACUCAUGGUAUAUACACUUGUUCAUCCAAGUAUACAUUGGACAAUCAUGUUUUGUUAAAUUUAAAGAUCAAGUUGCAGUCUUUUUCUGUCAUCGUUUGCAUGGAUUCAAAUGAAAGACAAGUCAACAAUUGGACAUUUUUUUCUGUCUGAUCUAAUUCUUGUCUCAAAUGGACAUACACAAGUAAUCAAGAAGAAGCAGCUACCUUAUAUGAAUCCGUUUUUUUCUGUCCUUUUUUGCUCCAACUAGCUUUGACUACAAAACUAUUUUGCUGAAACUAUUCCCACAAUGACAUUUACUUUACAUCUAAAUAUUACCUUUUCUCUUACGACACAUUCCAAGUAAUUUCAAACCUGUUGGGUGGUGUGUUAACAUUCACACUGAUUGACAGUUGAUGAUGGGUUUUAAGGGAAUGAUUCCGUUUUGGUUCCGGUAGCAUGGCUUUCAAUGAAUGGAUGAAGGUGCCAAAAAGUCCUCUGGCAGGUUAUCAAUUGCAGCAAGAUCAUCUUCUCACCUUAACGUGUCAACAGAAAAAUAAUCAAAUGGAUAUCAAGAUACACAUGAAGUGAUCUUUCUUUAAAAUAAGAAAUUUGGGUGUUUUUCUGGUAUUCACUGACAAAUUUCCGACCAAACUUUCUUCCUCCAGGCAAACAGGGAAAAGUUGCCAAACCAAUGAACAUACUAGUUUUAUCGAUUGCCUGAAAUUAUCCAUAAAAGAUUAACUCUACCUCAAAGAGUAAUUUAGAGUAAAGUUUAAUAGCAAGUCUCCUUUCAAGGCCUGAUCGAACCGAAAACACCAUCUUUUCUUCAUUCACUCUUCUCUGUAAUCAAUGGCACAGACGCGUGUAAAAAGCUCAACUAUUAAGACUGAAAGGACUGUAAACAUAAAUACUUAAAGCUGUUCACUACUACAGUCCAUAGUUGUUUAGGAAGUUGGUUGUUUACUGCAAGAAAUCCGGUCAAAAAUUAUGGUUCCACUGCAAUUUCUCCCCAUACAUCUAUUAUUUUCAAGUUGGCCUGGAAUAAAGAUUUGCCUGUGUUUAUUUGGUCCUACAAUACGAUUUACUAUCGUCAAAAAACCCAGCAAUUACUGAUAAAAGUGGAAGAGAGGGAGAAACUUGCCUAGAGGUUGUUUAGACCUUGUCUGAAGAUUACAUUUGUAGGCUAAGAUCCUCUUCUUUAUUUUCUCGUCUCUCUUCACUUCUCUUCUCUUCCUUUCUUUUCUUCCAUCUUCUCAUCUUUUUUCUCUUCUCUACUUGCAGUGGAUCAUUGGGAGACAAUGUUGUUUUCGGUCAUGGCUCAUGAUUUUUUUUCCUUCAAGAUUUUCUUCUCUUUUUUUUCUAAAUAUAAACACAAGAAAAAGAAAUAAACGGAGAUGCUGAUGAUGAUGGGUAAAGCUGGUGAGGAGUACGAAAAUGAUAUAAAAUGGCAACAAUAAUAGUUAACUGACUAUGUUAUUCAAAAUGGUCACAUUCCUGUUAAAUUGGUAACUAUAAUUACAGCGAUUAUGGUAAUCAUGAUGGUGACAGUGAUGAUGAACAUUUUGGCACCAGUAAUAACAACAUAAUUUAACAACAAUCAAUCUAUUAAACAUUUUAUCAACUUGCAGCUUCUGGUUGUUACUUGUUUUCCCAUUCCUAGCCAAGAUCAAGGUCUCAAGGAACCAUUGGAUGAUCUAGAUUAAGUUAAUAACUCAUGAAGCAUCACAAAAGAGGAUAAACCGGAUGAUUAAAUGAACUGACUCAUUUAAAUAAUUCACAUUAUUUAACUUCUACAUUUAUUACUCUUAUUAUCAUUAUCUUUACCAUUAUCCUCGUCCCAACAUUGGGUUCAACAAAGAUCAUAACAGUUAACAAAAUAAUUGUUACUUGUAAUCUAAUAAUCAAAAUAACAGCACACUCUCCCAACUAAAUAGUAAAAUCAUAUUGUUGCAUUCAAUAGCAUUUUAAAAGUCAACUUUCACAUCAUCAUUUUGAUUAAAGAUUGAAAUGAAAUUCUUUAUCUAUUGAUGAAACAGAAUCAUAUAGAUAAAUGAAAACUCAUUUUUAAAUACAUUAUUUAUUGUACUUUUCAAUUGAUCAGUCUUACAAUUCAAGUUAAUUUAAUU